Athene cunicularia (burrowing owl) is the source of this 1443-nucleotide RNA transcript. It is a transcript of the gene named F-box and WD repeat domain containing 4, with no coding region annotated. Lineage: Eukaryota; Metazoa; Chordata; Aves; Strigiformes; Strigidae. The record is from RefSeq and is a predicted model, not a curated record. The transcript is spliced from 10 exons.
UUAUUCACGUUAUUAAUGAAUACGUGGAUCAAAGCACCUGGCAUUCCAGUGAAGGAAAGGGUGAAAGUAUCUCGGAACUGGAGGCACGGACGCUGCCGCAGGGAGACGGUCCUGAAAUGGAAAUGCAAUUUGAUGCCCUGGAUAGAGCUGGAUGGUGAGUAUCUCUACCUGUCUCAAGCGGAGAACAUCCAGGCCUACCAGCUCUGCCCAGAUGGUACAGGUUUGCAGCAUCACCCUCAAGCUAUCUUCUCUGGCCACCAGGAGGAUGUAUGUCGCUUUGUUCUUGUCAACUCCCACAUCGUCAGUGGAGGCGGAGAUGGAAACAUUGUCCUUCACAAGAUCCAUGGCUCGUACAGUGUCAAAUUCUCUGCACAUGAACAGGAGGUGAACUGUGUGGACUUCCAAGGUGGCCUCAUUGUCAGUGGCUCCCGGGACAGAACAGCGAAGGUUUGGUCCCUGUCCGCGGGCAGAGUUGGGCAGUGUCUACAUACAGUGCAGACAGAGGAUCGAGUGUGGUCCAUUGCUAUCAGCCCAUUAUUAAGCUCUUUUGUGACGGGGACAGCCUGCUGUGGACACACCUCACCUCUGAGAAUCUGGGACCUUGAGAGUGGUCAGCUGUUGACCUGUUUAGGGACUGACUUCCACCGUGGAGCCGGAGUCCUUGAUGUCUUCUAUGAAACGCCCUCCCUUCUCCUUUCUUGUGGGUAUGACACCUACAUCCGCUACUGGGACAUACGGACCAGCACAAGGAAAUGUGUCCAGGAGUGGGAAGAGCCCCACGACAGUGCCCUGUACUGCAUCAGGAGUGAUAAGAACCACAUGAUUGCCAGCGGCUCUUCUUACUACGGCGUGGUGCGCCUCUGGGAUAAGCGGCAGACUCGGUGCCUGCAGAGCUUUCACCUGUCUUCACCCACCAGCAGCCCAGUGUACUGCCUCCGUUUCAGUACCACCCAUCUGUACGCUGCCCUGGCAUCAGCCCUGCAUGUCCUAGACUUCACGGCCCCAUGAAGGGCACCAUAGCUGCUUUGGGUCACCCCAGCUCAGCAGAGUUGACGCUUGGCUCAGGGAAUCGCAGGGCAGGAGAGCAUUUGAGGGGCAAGUUGAGCCAGGAUGCCCGGUCAGCCAUGUGUGCUGGUCAGGUUUUGAUCAGCAAAGCUCUGAGCCAUGUGAAGCAAGUCUAGGCUGUGUAUGGGGUGGACUGCUUUGGUGGGAAAGGUGCCGGGAGUGGUGCCCACCUUUCAUCUGUGCUUGCUCUCCUGACAGCUGCUCGUGUUGUCCUUCACAGCCAAGAGCAAGAAUUGAGCUAAAAGGCAGAGCCAGCCCUGCUUUCAGUGUAUGCCUCCCCAAGCUGGCCAUCAGGUCAGGCUGUGCACUUGGCAGGGCUGAAACAGUCACAUUUUGCUAAAUAAAACUCUGAAGGGAAACAAAAGAGACUCUAUGUUU